This is a long non-coding RNA of Leopardus geoffroyi (Geoffroy's cat), 136 nucleotides long. RefSeq lists it as uncharacterized. The transcript has 3 exons. Lineage: Eukaryota; Metazoa; Chordata; Mammalia; Carnivora; Felidae. The record is from RefSeq and is a predicted model, not a curated record.
GAGAGGCAGAAAGAGCGAGGAAGAGAGCAGGACAGCAGGCGGUGCGGGGGACCAGGGACAAGGCGGGGCAGCCACAGAGGCCUCACAUCCAAAGCAACCAAAGGAGAUGGGGAGGGCACACGUAUGAAGUCCAGUC